AUUGAACGCUGGCGGCAUGCCUAACACAUGCAAGUCGAACGGAAACGAUGGAAGCUUGCUUCCAGGCGUCGAGUGGCGGACGGGUGAGUAAUGCUUAGGAAUCUGCCCAAUAGUGGGGGACAACCAGGAGAAAUUCUGGCUAAUACCGCAUACGCACUACGGUGGAAAGUGGGGACCUUCGGGCCUCACGCUAUUGGAUGAGCCUAAGUCGGAUUAGCUUGUUGGUGGGGUAAUGGCUCACCAAGGCGACGAUCCGUAGCUGGUCUGAGAGGACGAUCAGCCACACUGGGACUGAGACACGGCCCAGACUCCUACGGGAGGCAGCAGUGGGGAAUAUUGGACAAUGGGCGCAAGCCUGAUCCAGCAAUGCCGCGUGGAGGAUGAAGGUUUUCGGAUUGUAAACUCCUUUCAGCAGGGACGAAGCCGCAAGGUGACGGUACCUGCAGAAGAAGCCCCGGCUAACUACGUG
This 469-nucleotide ribosomal RNA is filed under the name uncultured bacterium. Its description in RNAcentral is "bacterial SSU rRNA". It matches the Rfam family "Bacterial small subunit ribosomal RNA", at positions 30 to 507 of the family's 1533-position model. The record is from RNAcentral.